RNAcentral lists this ribosomal RNA (691 nucleotides) under uncultured Bacilli bacterium. RNAcentral describes it as "bacterial SSU rRNA". It matches the Rfam family "Bacterial small subunit ribosomal RNA", at positions 69 to 740 of the family's 1533-position model. The record is from RNAcentral. Lineage: Bacteria; Bacillati; Bacillota; Bacilli.
UUCACCGGAGCUUGCUCCACCGAAAGAAAAGGAGUGGCGAACGGGUGAGUAACACGUGGGUAACCUGCCCAUCAGAAGGGGAUAACACUUGGAAACAGGUGCUAAUACCGUAUAACAAUCGAAACCGCAUGGUUUCGGUUUGAAAGGCGCUUUUGCGUCACUGAUGGAUGGACCCGCGGUGCAUUAGCUAGUUGGUGAGGUAACGGCUCACCAAGGCAACGAUGCAUAGCCGACCUGAGAGGGUGAUCGGCCACAUUGGGACUGAGACACGGCCCAAACUCCUACGGGAGGCAGCAGUAGGGAAUCUUCGGCAAUGGACGCAAGUCUGACCGAGCAACGCCGCGUGAGUGAAGAAGGUUUUCGGAUCGUAAAACUCUGUUGUUAGAGAAGAACAAGGAUGAGAGUAGAAUGUUCAUCCCUUGACGGUAUCUAACCAGAAAGCCACGGCUAACUACGUGCCAGCAGCCGCGGUAAUACGUAGGUGGCAAGCGUUGUCCGGAUUUAUUGGGCGUAAAGCGAGCGCAGGCGGUUUCUUAAGUCUGAUGUGAAAGCCCCCGGCUCAACCGGGGAGGGUCAUUGGAAACUGGGAAACUUGAGUGCAGAAGAGGAGAGUGGAAUUCCAUGUGUAGCGGUGAAAUGCGUAGAUAUAUGGAGGAACACCAGUGGCGAAGGCGGCUCUCUGGUCUGUAAC